This is a long non-coding RNA of Branchiostoma floridae (Florida lancelet), 988 nucleotides long. RefSeq lists it as uncharacterized. NCBI's taxonomy places the organism in Eukaryota, Metazoa, Chordata, Leptocardii, Amphioxiformes, Branchiostomatidae. The transcript is spliced from 2 exons. The record is from RefSeq and is a predicted model, not a curated record.
AAAUCCCACACAUAGAACUGUUAGCAAGCAGCAGGGGUGUGAUGUGGAUUCCCAUGGUACUUUUUACCCACUUAAAUAUCAUACGUCAAUGUCUAUAGACCAACAGAUCCAGAACAUGCUUUCAAAUCAAUGCAGUGGCACCUCGCCUACUUCCAUGUAACUACUAAUGAUUUCUGCCACAGGAUAUACAGUAUAGCUGUGGUGAGCCACUCCACAUCUGCAGAACUUCCAGGUGUUAAACAGGGUACUUCAGCAGCCCAGAGGUGCCUCCUGAGAGCAGCUCGGGAGGGGGGCGAGAGGAGGAGGGGUGGGACCUGUCACCUUCUGGACUUUCCACUGUCUGUGGGUGUGAUACAUGGUGGCUUCUUCAUGGGAGAUGGCCCACGGCCCAUCAUCCCAGCAAGAGGGAAGGCUGGGAUCCUCCAGAAACUCAUUCAUUAGCUACUACAUUGCUUUCUUCAUCUUUCUUGAUCUAUGGACUCUAGAAAAGUAGUAUCUACCCACACAAAAGAUCCUAUCCAAUAUUUACAGGCUUGACAUGACAUGAGAAUGUGCAGAGCACUGUACGGUUUCCACGUCCUCAUAACUUUUUGUUGUUGACAAAUCCUAUGCAGAAUUGUGCCCAUAACAGUAUAUAGACAACAGUUUCAUGGAUGGAAAUCAAAUUUUAUCAUUUGUCUGUUUAGUGUUCGAGAUUCCCUUCCCUCGUUAUUGGUUGUUAUGCAACUGUUUUGUACACAGAUGUGGUGCCCGUCGGCACUGACUAGACUUUCGUUGUCCCCACGGAGGGGUAGUUAUCAUGGUUCCAUGGUAUAUGCACAUGCCAUGCAUUUUCUUCUCUGGUUUUGUAAAUACAGUUGGAGACAGGAUACUAUUGAUACACCACCAGAUCACUUGUUUAUGUGUUUGUAUUUUUGCAAAUUUGUACCAAAAUGUGAGAGCCGGGGAGGGAAACAAUAAUUGAUUGCAAUAAAUCACAAUGAAGACA